This 478-nucleotide ribosomal RNA is filed under the name uncultured bacterium. Its description in RNAcentral is "partial 16S ribosomal RNA". It matches the Rfam family "Bacterial small subunit ribosomal RNA", at positions 28 to 523 of the family's 1533-position model. The record is from RNAcentral.
GACGAACGCUGGCGGCGUGCUUAACACAUGCAAGUCGAACGGUAAGGCCCUUCGGGGUACACGAGUGGCGAACGGGUGAGUAACACGUGGGUGAUCUGCCCUGCACUUCGGGAUAAGCCUGGGAAACUGGGUCUAAUACCGGAUAGGACCACUGCCUGCAUGGGUGGUGGUGGAAAGCUUUUGCGGUGUGGGAUGGGCCCGCGGCCUAUCAGCUUGUUGGUGGGGUGAUGGCCUACCAAGGCGACGACGGGUAGCCGGCCUGAGAGGGUGAACGGCCACACUGGGAAUGAGAUACGGCCCAGACUCCUACGGGAGGCAGCAGUGGGGAAUAUUGCACAAUGGGCGCAAGCCUGAUGCAGCGACGCCGCGUGAGGGAUGACGGCCUUCGGGUUGUAAACCUCUUUCAGCACCGACGAAGCGCAAGUGACGGUAGGUGCAGAAGAAGGACCGGCCAACUACGUGCCAGCAGCCGCCGUAA